AACGCGAAGAACCUUACCAGCCCUUGACAUCCCGGUCGCGGGAACGAGAGAUCGAUCCCUUCAGUUCGGCUGGACCGGAGACAGGUGCUGCAUGGCUGUCGUCAGCUCGUGUCGUGAGAUGUUGGGUUAAGUCCCGCAACGAGCGCAACCCUCGCCCUUAGUUGCCAUCAUUUAGUUGGGCACUCUAAGGGGACUGCCGGUGAUAAGCCGCGAGGAAGGUGGGGAUGACGUCAAGUCCUCAUGGCCCUUACGGGCUGGGCUACACACGUGCUACAAUGGCGGUGACAGUGGGAUGCAAUGGAGUAAUCCUGCGCAAAUCUCAAAAAGCCGUCUCAGUUCGGAUUGUGCUCUGCAACUCGAGCACAUGAAGUUGGAAUCGCUAGUAAUCGUGGAUCAGCACGCCACGGUGAAUACGUUCCCGGGCCUUGUA
Molecule: ribosomal RNA, 430 nt
Filed under: uncultured Alphaproteobacteria bacterium
Lineage: Bacteria; Pseudomonadati; Pseudomonadota; Alphaproteobacteria
Description: bacterial SSU rRNA
Rfam family: Bacterial small subunit ribosomal RNA
Source: RNAcentral